This 324-nucleotide ribosomal RNA is filed under the name uncultured eukaryote. Its description in RNAcentral is "partial 18S ribosomal RNA". It matches the Rfam family "Eukaryotic small subunit ribosomal RNA", at positions 1470 to 1796 of the family's 1831-position model. The record is from RNAcentral.
CCCUUAGAUGUCCUGGGCCGCACGCGCGCUACACUGAUGCAUUCAACGAGUUUUACCUUGGCCGAGAGGCCUGGGCAAUCUUUUAAACCUGCAUCGUGAUAGGGAUAGAUUAUUGCAAUUAUUAAUCUUGAACGAGGAAUUCCUAGUAAACGCAAAUCAUCAAUUUGCAUUGAUUACGUCCCUGCCCUUUGUACACACCGCCCGUCGCUCCUACCGAUUGAGUGCUCAGGUGAAUAAUUCGGACUGCAGCAAUGUUCGGAUCCCGAACGUUGCAGCGGAAAGUUUAGUGAACCUUAUCACUUAGAGGAAGGAGAAGUCGUAACA